Molecule: unclassified non-coding RNA, 199 nt
Filed under: uncultured Dothideomycetes
Lineage: Eukaryota; Fungi; Ascomycota; Dothideomycetes
Description: sequence contains ITS2
Source: RNAcentral
CACCAAUCAAGCACCGCUUGGUAUUAGGUCUUUCGCCCCCUGCUCCGGCGGGAGGCGGGCCUCAAACACUUCGGCGGGGCCUCAUCGGCUUUGGGCGUAGCAGAAUUAUCUAACACGUCCUCGGGUCUUUUGAGUCUCCUGCCGGCUUUAAACCGAAUCGGAACACCCCACCCAGUGGGAUUCCCCUUCACUUUUCAAA